Molecule: ribosomal RNA, 253 nt
Filed under: uncultured bacterium
Lineage: Bacteria
Description: partial 16S ribosomal RNA
Rfam family: Bacterial small subunit ribosomal RNA
Source: RNAcentral
UACGGAGGGUGCGAGCGUUGUCCGGAAUCAUUGGGCGUAAAGGGCGCGUAGGUGGCGGCUUAAGCGUGCGGUGAAAGCUCGGGGCUCAACCCCGAGUCGGCCGUGCGAACUGAGUCGCUUGAGCACUGUAGAGGCAGGCGGAAUUCCGGGUGUAGCGGUGGAAUGCGUAGAGAUCCGGAAGAACACCGGUGGCGAAGGCGGCCUGCUGGCAGUUUGCUGACACUGAGGCGCGACAGCGUGGGGAGCAAACAGG